AGGAAAAGAAACCAACAGGGAUUGCCCCAGUAACGGCGAGUGAAGCGGCAACAGCUCAAAUUUGAAAUCUGGCCCCCGGGGCCCGAGUUGUAAUUUGCAGAGGAUGCUUUUGGCGAGGUGCCUUCCGAGUUCCCUGGAACGGGACGCCAUAGAGGGUGAGAGCCCCGUCUGGUUGGACACCGAGCCUCUGUAAAGCUCCUUCGACGAGUCGAGUAGUUUGGGAAUGCUGCUCUAAAUGGGAGGUAUAUGUCUUCUAAAGCUAAAUACCGGCCAGAGACCGAUAGCGCACAAGUAGAGUGAUCGAAAGAUGAAAAGCACUUUGAAAAGAGGGUUAAAUAGUACGUGAAAUUGUUGAAAGGGAAGCGCUUAUGACCAGACUUGGACCCGGUGAAUCAUCCAGYGCUCUCGCCGGUGCACUUUGCCGGGCCCAGGCCAGCAUCAGUUUCCCCCGGGGGAUAAAGGCUCCGGGAAUGUGGCUCCUCCGGGAGUGUUAUAGCCCGCCGCGCAAUACCCUGGGGCGRACUGAGGUUCGCGCAUCUGCAAGGAUGCUGGCGUAAUGGUCAUC
RNAcentral lists this ribosomal RNA (565 nucleotides) under Dussiella tuberiformis. RNAcentral describes it as "eukaryotic LSU rRNA". It matches the Rfam family "Eukaryotic large subunit ribosomal RNA", at positions 54 to 642 of the family's 3401-position model. Lineage: Eukaryota; Fungi; Ascomycota; Sordariomycetes; Hypocreales. The record is from RNAcentral.